Molecule: small RNA, 394 nt
Filed under: Providencia alcalifaciens
Lineage: Bacteria; Pseudomonadati; Pseudomonadota; Gammaproteobacteria; Enterobacterales; Morganellaceae
Description: cspA thermoregulator
Rfam family: cspA thermoregulator
Source: RNAcentral
UUUGGAAGUACAGGCCUAUUUAUGCUAGUCAGUUUAAAGUCGUUCACCAUUUAGUGUUAUCUAAGAUACCCUUCAUUGCGAAUUCCUUCUAAUUAAUUCCCAUAAGUAAAAAUAAAAAACAAACCUAAUAUGCCUUAUGGCAAACUUAAAAAAUUAAAGGAAAUUCUAUGUCUAAUACAAUGACUGGUUCAGUAAAAUGGUUUAACGACGAUAAAGGUUUUGGUUUCAUUACUCCAGCUGAUGGCUCUAAAGAUGUAUUUGUUCAUUUCUCUGCAAUUCAGAGUGAUAACUUCAAAUCUUUAAUUGAAGGUCAGCAAGUUUCAUUCAUCAUUGAAAAUGGUGCAAAAGGUCCUGCUGCAGGACAAGUGGUGGCGCUUUAAAGACACUAUAAAAG